RNAcentral lists this ribosomal RNA (301 nucleotides) under uncultured bacterium. RNAcentral describes it as "partial 16S ribosomal RNA". It matches the Rfam family "Bacterial small subunit ribosomal RNA", at positions 509 to 809 of the family's 1533-position model. The record is from RNAcentral.
CAGUAGCCACGGUAAUACGAAGGGGGCUAGCGUUGUUCGGAUUUACUGGGCGUAAAGCGCACGUAGGCGGACUUUUAAGUCAGGGGUGAAAUCCCGGGGCUCAACCCCGGAACUGCCUUUGAUACUGGGAGUCUUGAGUUCGAGAGAGGUGAGUGGAAUUGCGAGUGUAGAGGUGAAAUUCGUAGAUAUUCGCAGGAACACCAGUGGCGAAGGCGGCUCACUGGCUCGAUACUGACGCUGAGGUGCGAAAGCGUGGGGAGCAAACAGGAUUAGAGACCCCUGUAGUCCCUGUCUCUUAUAA